RNAcentral lists this ribosomal RNA (301 nucleotides) under uncultured bacterium. RNAcentral describes it as "partial 16S ribosomal RNA". It matches the Rfam family "Bacterial small subunit ribosomal RNA", at positions 509 to 807 of the family's 1533-position model. The record is from RNAcentral.
CAGUAGCCGCGGUAAUACGGAGGGGGCUAGCGUUGUUCGGAAUUACUGGGCGUAAAGCGUACGUAGGCGGCUUUGUAAGUUAGAGGUGAAAGCCUGGAGCUCAACUCCAGAAUUGCCUUUAAGACUGCAUCGCUUGAACGUCGGAGAGGUGAGUGGAAUUCCGAGUGUAGAGGUGAAAUUCGUAGAUAUUCGGAAGAACACCAGUGGCGAAGGCGGCUCACUGGACGACUGUUGACGCUGAGGUACGAAAGCGUGGGGAGCAAACAGGAUUAGAUACCCCCGUAGUCCCUGUCUCUUAUAC